UAGGGAAUAUUGGGGCAAUGGGGCGCAAGCCUGACCCAGCAACGCCGCGUGAGGGAAGAAGGUUUUCGGAUUGUAAACCUCUGUCCUAUGUGACGAAGGAAGUGACGGUAGCAUAGGAGGAAGCCCCGGCUAACUACGUGCCAGCAGCCGCGGUAAUACGUAGGGGGCAAGCGUUAUCCGGAUUUACUGGGUGUAAAGGGAGCGUAGACGGCCAGGUAAGUCAGGUGUGAAAGCCCGGGGCUCAACCCCGGGACUGCACUUGAAACUAUCUGGCUAGAGUGUCGGAGAGGUAAGUGGAAUUCCUAGUGUAGCGGUGAAAUGCGUAGAUAUUAGGAGGAACACCAGUGGCGAAGGCGACUUACUGGACGAUAACUGACGUUGAGGCUCGAAAGCGUGGGGAGCAAACAGGAUUAGAUACCCUGGUAGU
RNAcentral lists this ribosomal RNA (427 nucleotides) under uncultured Clostridium sp. Its description in RNAcentral is "bacterial SSU rRNA". It matches the Rfam family "Bacterial small subunit ribosomal RNA", at positions 355 to 794 of the family's 1533-position model. Lineage: Bacteria; Bacillati; Bacillota; Clostridia; Eubacteriales; Clostridiaceae. The record is from RNAcentral.